UAAUCAUCAAAUGCCCUUUGAGCAUAGGCUGC
RNAcentral lists this non-coding RNA (32 nucleotides) under Homo sapiens (human). Lineage: Eukaryota; Metazoa; Chordata; Mammalia; Primates; Hominidae. The record is from RNAcentral.